GACGAACGCUGGCGGCGUGCUUAACACAUGCAAGUCGAACGGAAAGGCCCUGCUUUUGUGGGGUGCUCGAGUGGCGAACGGGUGAGUAACACGUGAGUAACCUGCCCUUGACUUUGGGAUAACUUCAGGAAACUGGGGCUAAUACCGGAUAGGAGCUCCUGCUGCAUGGUGGGGGUUGGUAAGUUUCGGUGGUUGGGGAUGGACUCGCGGCUUAUCCGCUUGUUGGUGGGGUAGUGGCUUACCAAGGCUUUGACGGGUAGCCGACCUGCGAGGGUGACCGGCCACGUUAGGACUGAGAUGCGGCCCAGACUCCAACGGGAGGCAGCGGAGGGGAAUAGUACACAAGAGGCGGAAGCCUGAUGCGGCAACGCAGCGUGGGGGAAGACGGGCUGCGGGUUGUAAACCGAUGUCGCCUGUGACGAAGCGAGAGUGACGGUAAUGGGUAAAGAAGCACCGGCUAACUACGUG
RNAcentral lists this ribosomal RNA (468 nucleotides) under uncultured bacterium. RNAcentral's name for it is "partial 16S ribosomal RNA". It matches the Rfam family "Bacterial small subunit ribosomal RNA", at positions 28 to 507 of the family's 1533-position model. The record is from RNAcentral.